Molecule: ribosomal RNA, 474 nt
Filed under: uncultured bacterium
Lineage: Bacteria
Description: partial 16S ribosomal RNA
Rfam family: Bacterial small subunit ribosomal RNA
Source: RNAcentral
GAUGAACGCUAGCGGCAGGCCUAACACAUGCAAGUCGAGGGAGGAGCUUUCGGGCUUCGACCGGCGUACGGGUGCGUAACGCGUAUACAAUCUGCCUUUCACAUAGGGAUAGCCCGAAGAAAUUUGGAUUAAUACCUAAUGGUAUAUAGAGGUGGCAUCACCUUUAUAUUAAAGCUGAGGCGGUGAAAGAUGAGUAUGCGUUCUAUUAGCUAGUUGGAGAGGUAACGGCUCCCCAAGGCGACGAUAGAUAGGGGUUCUGAGAGGGAUAUCCCCCACACUGGUACUGAGAUACGGACCAGACUCCUACGGGAGGAAGCAGUGAGGAAUAUUGGACAAUGGUCGGAAGACUGAUCCAGCCAUGCCGCGUGCAGGAAGACGGCCUUAUGGGUUGUAAACUGCUUUUGCAGGGGAAGAAUAAGGACUACGCGUAGUUUGAUGACGGCACUCUGCGAAUAAGCAUCGGCUAACUCCGUG